RNAcentral lists this long non-coding RNA (459 nucleotides) under Gossypium raimondii (Peruvian cotton). Its description in RNAcentral is "long non-coding RNA (GRAI_LNC000474)". The record is from RNAcentral. Lineage: Eukaryota; Viridiplantae; Streptophyta; Magnoliopsida; Malvales; Malvaceae.
AAUAAAGAUGGACCUAACACAACCCAUAACACAGGACAACAUUUCACACUCUAGAGCAACUAUAAUAUUACUCUUUAACAUAAGUCAAACUAGCUGCUUUAAAAUUUUAACCAUCCAGCAAAGUUCAAGGAAAGUGGACGACACCAGGCGCAUUGUCAAUGCCAACACCACCUUCAUUUCCACUACCAGCGCCAGGCCCACCUCCAUACCCAACACCUACCAUGGCGCCCAUCCCACCUGUACCACCAAGGCCAGUCAUACCACCAACACUCCCAACUCCACCCAUUGGCAUGCCAUUUGAACCCAUGCCAGAGUAGCCGCCAAUGCCACCGUAUGUGAGGAGGUUCUUUUGGUCAUUGAGACCAGCAGCAUCGCUAGGCACAUUCCUUGCAGUAGCUUGAACCACUACUAGAGCAAGAACAAGCACAACAUUCAAGUACUUGGCCAUAUCUGAUAUUU